Long non-coding RNA from Homo sapiens (human), 663 nucleotides. Ensembl annotates it as long intergenic non-protein coding RNA 1823. Lineage: Eukaryota; Metazoa; Chordata; Mammalia; Primates; Hominidae. The record is from Ensembl.
ACACUCAGGGUGAGAGGGAGAUUCUGAAGCUUUGUGUUUCUUGCUAGCUAGUCAAAGGUGACUAAUUCAUGUGGAUAGAAAAAUAAUACAUGCCAAAAGAAAUUUGAGGAACAAAUUCAGCCCUGAGACAGGUCACGGAAACAGCCCUCCAGUCUUCCUCAAGAAAUGUAGACUGAAUCAGCAUUUACCCACCCCUGGAAAAACGCAGGAGCUGCGCAUUCCUGGGAUCUCAGCAGGGCUUUUGGGAAGAGCAGAACUGGGCUGGAGUCACGGUUUCUGGGCUGACUCUAGAUUUUCCCCGGCUUUUGCCACCUGUGAUGGCUGGAGAGUAUCUGAAGAUGACAGGUGACUCCAGGACCUAGGGCUCCCUCCUUAGGAGCAGGGUGGGGUACCAGGUUGCACACAGGUGAUGAUGGGGGGGGGGGUGGGCUGUCCAGCACACAGCUUGGUGAGCAGGAUUUGAGAUACUCACCCCACUUUCUGGUGAUACAGACCCCCUACUCCCAGUGACACAAGAUGGUUGGACCCACGGCUGAUUUACUGCUUUACUCCCAUUCUUUAUGGGGCCAGCUUUAAUGAGCACCCAAGCAGAAAUGCCUUUGACUCCUGCACUGUGAAUAACUGUUAUUAAUAAAAGGGCAAGCUGCUUGCCAUGGAACCUUG